This 444-nucleotide ribosomal RNA is filed under the name uncultured bacterium. RNAcentral describes it as "SSU rRNA". It matches the Rfam family "Bacterial small subunit ribosomal RNA", at positions 26 to 518 of the family's 1533-position model. The record is from RNAcentral.
AGGAUGAACGCUGGCGGUCUGCUUAACACAUGCAAGUCGAACGGAGUAGCAAUACUUAGUGGCGGACGGGUGAGUAACGCGUAGGUAUCUGUCCAUGGGUGGGGGAUAACGGCGGGAAACUGCUGCUAAUACCGCAUGACACCUGAGGGUCAAAGGCGCAAGUCGCCUGUGGAGGAGCCUGCGUCCGAUUAGCUAGUUGGUGGGGUAACGCCUACCAAGGCGACGAUCGGUAGCUGGUCUGAGAGGAUGAUCAGCCACACUGGGACUGAGACACGGCCCAGACUCCUACGGGAGGCAGCAGUGGGGAAUAUUGGACAAUGGGCGCAAGCCUGAUCCAGCAAUGCCGCGUGGGUGAAGAAGGUCUUCGGAUUGUAAAGCCCUUUCGGCGGGGACGAUGAUGACGGUACCGCAGAGACGCCCGGCUAACUCGUCGCCAGCAGCCGC